GUCCCUCCGUGGACAUCUCCUGCUCAUCAGUAAAAGUUACCAGUAUCCAGUUCACUAGCAAGGACCACACCAUCAACGGGGUAUGUUUAAAUGAUUUAUUGAUGAAACAAGAUUAUGUGGGAGGCUUGGCUCGCUGUUUGCUUGGUUGGCUACUAUGUGUGGGGGAAGCUUCAGUGGGGAAUCCACCGUAACACCUGGGCACGACAGACCCCCAAAAGCCUCCACUUAUUUUAGACAAGAUUGAGCAGAUCUGAGAUCUCUGAGAUCUGAACGAAUGUAGCAGUGAUACGCUUGGGAGGACCAAUGGCCCACGAUUUGUGUUAAGUGCUCAGGAAUGCCAUUGUGGGAGGCCGAGGUAGCAGCUCCUAUCCUGAAGGAGUGACCAGAGUAAUGAAUGGGAGAAAUGCCAGACAAGGAGAGUAUGUGGCGGAAGUGCUGGUGGAACCAGAAUUGAGUAGCCGCUUGUCCAGACUUGGAGACGAAGAGAGGUUCUGACGUGGUUAUCCUCUAGGAUUUCCAGAAUUGCAAGUAGUUUGUCUUGCAAGUUUGCAAGUGUCUUGAAAGGUUCAGCAGCGAUUGGACCUCGAAGUAGAAGAUGGGGUAAGAUGGCCGGAUUGAUUGGUUUUGGUUCAUUUUAGGUAGAAUACUAUGGUGUUGUCUGAGAAUUGUGACAAGUCUGAAAGGCAGGCGUGAUGGCAUGGAUCGAAGUGAAGGGUAGAGGAGGUGAAUUUGGAGCAUCUGAGGAAACCAGAGCAUGGUUCGAGCAACAUGAGGGACGCUAUAUUUGGUGUGGAUGGACUGACAGCAAGUUGGCUGUAAGAGGAAGGCGGUGAGGAUUUUGAGCUGGCUCUUGACAUUGAAGUCUUCUGAGAAGUAAGGUUAUCUGAGAAUGGUGACCGGGGCUGCCAAUUAGAAGUUAGGUGAGCAUGGCAACGUGUGAGGAGUGACUGUUGAAAACCACAAUGCUAAAGAGAUUAGGGUAUAGCAUCAGUUAUAUCAGCAGUGGAGAGUAUUUCUUCUUUGAAGGAAGAGCAACGGCACUGAAGCUUUUCUUGAUGUUUUUGCUCCCGGCUGGCUCCGGUAAGAGUUUGUCUACGUUAUGGUUCGUUGAUUUGAUUAGUUGGAGUUUUUCCCGUGAUAGAUGGUGAUGAUUCCAAUGAUGAUUUCCCAGAUAGUUCUGGCAUCCGGUGCCAGGAGCCCUACCUCGAGGGAGCUGCUGCGGUCGCUGGGAGUGGGCAGCAGGGGAUGCUGGCAUCCCAGUGUCAUCACCUGCCAAGGCUGGCUGAUGUGAUUGCUGGAGCUGAAUAACAGGAAGCGCUGACAACCCAGUGUAAAUUGCCCUGGAUGAUGUAAGCUGCUGUUGCUGGUGUAGAAAAACCUGCUGAGAGGUUUAGUGUCCCGGAGUUAUUGUGCUCCAUCUGAACCUGAUUGUGUAUGAUGAGAGGUAGUUGCUGAUGACUCCCGUUUUUCAUUGCUGCUGGCCUUUCUGCUGUCUUGAGCUGAAGGAUAUGGUGAACUGUCCCUUUAACUUGGGCUCUGCUGUCACAGUGUGUUGUUAGGGUGUGCGCGAUGACGUCACCCGAAAGAGCGCUGUGUUGAACUGAACUGUGGGCAUGACAGGCUGACAUGAGAGCGUUGGAAAGUUUUGCUUUGUUGUCCGUUCUGUGAAAUACAAUUACUUUAUCUUUUAGCGUUUUUGUAGCGCGGCAACAGUCCAGUCGGAAGUAGUGUUUGAGACGAUGGCGGGGACUGGAGUUGUCCCGUUGGGCGAUGAAGUCGGAGCACUGCAGCGGCGAUGGACUGUCCUUGAAUUGCCUCUUCCUCUCUUUUCUGCUGAGGGAGGUGGGCAAGGAAGAGACUGUGUAGGGGCUUGCUGGACUCACUUGCUUCGUGGACAGCUUUUGGAUUACGGAAAGCAGGGUCUCAGGCGCUGAAGUUUUUGGCUUCUAUUGUUGGGUCUGCUGGCGAGGUUGAUGGAAACUUUGAACGUGGUUAUCCUGAUUUUGUCCGAAUAAUUCAUCGUCCGAUGGGGAUAGUGAGACGAAGUCCAUGUUCGAGCACUGUCUGAGUGUGCUCGGGGCGAUGUUGCGUGGUGUCGGUUCAGGUGCAGAAAACGAGCGCGUAGAGGAGGAGAUGGGUUAGAAACAUGUUUGACAUUUACACUUAAACAGUCCCACAAGAAAAUGUGAAUCAAGGACCUUCAGGAAACCUUCAGUCAGUGACCAGCAGUGGAUCUUCUUACCAGAUAUGGAGACUGUUGUUGUUGAUCAUCUGACACCAGAGCGGCUGCAUCAGUUGAAGUGAAGGCUGUGAUGAGCAGGAAAGCCUGCAGACACAACAGGACCGGCAACAUAGUUCUGUCCAUGACUGAUGAGCGGAAGCCCACACAAAGCCCACAUUUAUAUGCUCACUGCUAACCAAUGUGGACAGAGAGGAAGCAAAAACAGGGUGUUGGCCAUGCUGCAUUACUAGCAUGAUCAACAAAAUGCUAGUCAUGUGCAAGACACUUGUUGAUGAUGAAGUGUUGAUAAUAGGUGUUAAGUUAAAAUCUUAACAAAAAUAUAGGAUUGGGGUUUAAUAACAGCAGGAUUAUUUUGUCUUUAUUACAACUGUAUGUUUGAUUACAGGCAGAAAUAUGUGGAAUGUUUAAAGGAUACAGCAAAGAAAUAUAACUUUAGGUGAGAGUGAAAAACUGAAUAGUUCAACAUUAUGGAAAACACACUUAUUUGCUUUCGUGCUGACAGUUAGGUGAGAAGAUUGAUACCACUCUAGUAUUUGUAGGGACAUUUGAAGCUAGAGUCAAGAGAAGCCUAGAUUAGUUUAACAUAAAGACUCAAAACAAGGGGAAACAGCUGGCUCUGUCCAAAGUUAAACAAAACAAACAAAAAAAAACAACAACCUGCGUACCAGAACCUCUAAAGCUCAAUAAUUGCAUUUCUGUUUCUGAAAGUUUUAAACAAAUUAGAUAAUGUGCUCAUUAGUGAGCUUUAGGGGUGCUGAUAGUUCGAUUCUUUGGAGAGAGCCAGGCUAGCUGUUUCCCCCCUGCUCCCAGAAAACCAGUCAGUAUCUGGUGUGACCACCAUUUGCCUCAUGCAGUGCGACACAUCUCCUUGUCAUAGAGUUGAUCAGGUUGUUGAUUGUGGCCUGUGGGAUGUUGGCCCACUCCUCUUGGCUGUGCGAAAGUAGCUGGAUAUUGGCAGAAAUUGUAACACGCUGUCGUACACGGCGAUCCAGAGCAUCCCAAAUGAGUAAGCAGGCCAUGCAAGAACUGGGAUGUUUUCAGCUUCCAGGAAUUGACUGCAGUCAGGUCAAGACCUUGGUGAGGACGAGAAGCACUCAGAUGAGCUUUCCUGAGAUGGUUUCUGACAGUUUGUGCAGAAAUUCUUUGGUUGUGCAAACCAACUGUUGCAUCAGCUGUCCGGGUGGCUGGUCUCAGACAAUCUUCCUGGUGAAGAAGCCGGAUGUGGAGGUCCUGGGCUAGCGUGGUAACACGUGGUCUGCAGUUGUGAGGCCGGUUGGAUGUACUGUCAAAUUGCGGGAAUGUCAAAUCGCGGGAAUGACGUUGGAGAUGGCUUAUGAUACUGAAAUGAACAUUCAUUCAUUCACGGGAAACAUCUCUGCUGGACAUUCAUGUAGUCAGCAUGCCAACUGCACGCUCCCUCAAAACUUGUGACAUCUAUGGCUUUGUGUUGUGUGAUAAAACUGCACAUUUUAGAGUGGCCUUUUAUCGUGACCAACUAAAGGCACCAAUGGUAAUCAUGCUGUUUAAUCAGCAUCAUGAUAUGCCACACCUGUCAAGUGGAUGGAUUAUCUUGGCAAAGGAGAAGUGCUCACUAACAAGGAUUAUUGUCGUGGGUCUGCCAUGGUGAAACUACAAUGUUCCGAAGAUGGACUACAGCCAGGCUCCAAACAAACAAACAAGGGCAUGUUCAUUCCUGAGCUUUAGAGGUGCUGGUAGGCAGAUUUUAUUACCUUUGGACAGAGCCAGGCUAGCUGUUUCCCCCUGGCUCCAGCUUCAUAUUUAACACACAGAUAUGAGAGUGGUAUUACUCUUCUGCAUUGUUAAUGCAUAAAACAAAAAAAUAGACGUACACAAAAUGUUAAUAACUUCUCAAAGCUUAGUUUCUUGUGAAUAACAAAUUUUUGAUGUCCGAUAGAAUCUAAGGUCAUGAAAUGUUAAAAUCAUUGUCAAUUGGAUCUAUGUUAGAUCAGUGGUAGCUGCUGAAAUAGAGCAGUGAACCCCAUGUUAUGAGCGGUAAUGUUGUUGCACUGCCGACCGCUUCUAUAGAACAAUAAUGAGGAAGCAUCACAGAAAUUAAGCAACAUAAAGAAGUAAAUUCAAGAUUUAUCAAAGAGCCAUCUCUUUCUCCCUCCCUCACACACACACACACACACACACACACACACACACACACACACACACACACACACACACACACACAGACUAUGUUUUGAAAUGAUAUAACGAAACACAGGUACCUACUAUGGGAAGCAUUUACUACCACUCACCGAAAACUGACCAACUCAAUGUUGCAAUAUAUGCAAAAACUCCACCCAUUAGUAGAAAAAAUUAUUAAGAUUCAUUGCAAAAUUGUUUUGACACAUGGUUUUACUGAUCAUUUACUUGCCAGUUAGAGUACCCUUGGUGGCACAAAGCUCAGGAUUGUAACAACUGUAUCCUAUAUCUUGUCAGGUUUAGGAUAAAGGAAUUGUUUUGGUCAAAGGAAUAGUUUAACAUUGUGAAAAAUACACUUAUUCAUUUUCUUGCUGAGAGUUAAAUGAGAAGAUUUAAACCACUCUUGUGUCUGUUGGGUAAAUAUGAAGCUCCAGACAUGACCAGCUUUCUUAAUAACGAAAAGCUCAACAUUUGUUUGUUCAGAGAAUCUGUGUUUGCUCAGUAAAAAGAGCAAUGGGCUGACAACAUAUGGACUAAGCCAAAACUGCGUGGGAUGAUAAAAUAUGAAUAUAGUACUGAGAAUUAUGUUGUAUAUAAUUUAUCUAAAAAGCAUGUGCAUCUUAUGUGCCCAGCUGAGAUCUUGUAUUUUACCACCAUAUGAGUCUGGAAGAAAAGCGGAUUUGUUCAGUGUGCUGUUUGACUGAUAUAGAAAAUGAGUUCCAUUUUGUUUUCUAUUAUCCUUUGUACUGGGAACCGCACAAUACUUUUAGUAAGAUAAAAACAGAUAGUGAUUUUGUAAAUAUGGAUGAUGCACAAAGUUUGAGUUGGCUGUUCACAUAUGAAACAUUUAGAUUAGCUACUUCCUUGGAGAAAGCCUGGGAAAUGAGGAAAAAAAGCUCUUUAUCAGGAUAAAAUGUAGGUAUGUAACAGUUCUUUUCAGUGUACAGUUCAUCUGAAAUUUGUUAUUUUGAAUAUGUUAUUUAAUAGAAUAAUAGAAGUACUUGUGAAUAAUGUGAUGAUUUUUUUUUAUAUUUGUAUUACAGGAAGAUGUAUGUUUUGUAAAACUGCGAUGUCUUGUAAUCCCAUAUGGGAUGGACCAGAUGUUUGGCAUGACAGAAAUAGAAAAUAAACUAAAUUUAACCAGCAACA
This is a long non-coding RNA of Siniperca chuatsi (mandarin fish), 5545 nucleotides long. RefSeq lists it as uncharacterized. The record is from RefSeq and is a predicted model, not a curated record. Lineage: Eukaryota; Metazoa; Chordata; Actinopteri; Centrarchiformes; Sinipercidae. The transcript is spliced from 2 exons.